This 253-nucleotide ribosomal RNA is filed under the name uncultured bacterium. RNAcentral describes it as "partial 16S ribosomal RNA". It matches the Rfam family "Bacterial small subunit ribosomal RNA", at positions 524 to 776 of the family's 1533-position model. The record is from RNAcentral.
UACGUAGGUGGCAAGCGUUGUCCGGAUUUAUUGGAUUUAAAGGGUGCGUAGGCGGCCCUGUAAGUCAGUGCUGAAAUAUCCCGGCUUAACCGGGAGGGUGGCAUUGAUACUGCGGGGCUAGAGUACAGAUGAGGUAGGCGGAAUUGACGGUGUAGCGGUGAAAUGCUUAGAUAUCGUCAAGAACACCUAUAGCGAAGGCAGCUUACUAGGCUGUAACUGACGCUGAGGCACGAAAGUGUGGGGAUCAAACAGG